This 253-nucleotide ribosomal RNA is filed under the name uncultured bacterium. Its description in RNAcentral is "partial 16S ribosomal RNA". It matches the Rfam family "Bacterial small subunit ribosomal RNA", at positions 524 to 776 of the family's 1533-position model. The record is from RNAcentral.
UACGUAGGGAGCAAGCGUUGUCCGGAAUCACUGGGCGUAAAGAGCACGUAGGCGGCUAUUUAAGUCAGAUGUGAAAUACCAGGGCUUAACCCUGGGGCUUCAUUUGAAACUGUAAGACUUGAGUGCAGGAGAGGAAAGUGGAAUUCCUAGUGUAGCGGUGAAAUGCGUAGAUAUUGGGAGGAACACCGGUGGCGAAGGCGACUUUCUGGAUUGUCCCUGACGCUGAGGCGCGAAAGCGUGGGGAGCAAACGGG